This 512-nucleotide ribosomal RNA is filed under the name uncultured Arsenophonus sp. Its description in RNAcentral is "LSU rRNA". It matches the Rfam family "Bacterial large subunit ribosomal RNA", at positions 201 to 756 of the family's 2925-position model. Lineage: Bacteria; Pseudomonadati; Pseudomonadota; Gammaproteobacteria; Enterobacterales; Morganellaceae. The record is from RNAcentral.
UCUCAGUACCUCGAGRAAAAGAAAUAACCGAGAUUCCCCCAGUAGCGGCGAGCGAACAGGGAGCAGCCCAGAGUCAACAUCAAUAUUUACCGCAGGAGAAAGAUCUGGAAAGGCUGGCAAUAAAGGGUGAUAGCCCCGUAUCUGAAGCGGUAAGUGUUGUGAACUCGAAGAGUAAGGCGGGACACGUGUUAUCCUGUCUGAAUAUGGGGGGACCAUCCUCCAAGGCUAAAUACUCCUGACUGACCGAUAGUGAACCAGUACCGUGAGGGAAAGGCGAAAAGAACCCCGGCAAGGGGAGUGAAAUAGAACCUGAAACCGUGUACGUACAAGCAGUAGGAGCACCCGAAAAGGUGUGACUGCGUACCUUUUGUAUAAUGGGUCAGCGACUUAUAUUCUGUAGCAAGGUUAACCGCAUAGGGGAGCCGUAGGGAAACCRAGUCUUAACUGGGCGUUAAUUUGCAGGGUAUAGACCCRAAACCCGGUAAUCUACCCAUGGGCRGGUUGAAAUUGGG